RNAcentral lists this non-coding RNA (27 nucleotides) under Rattus norvegicus (Norway rat). The record is from RNAcentral. Lineage: Eukaryota; Metazoa; Chordata; Mammalia; Rodentia; Muridae.
UUUGUAGUUAUCUCUCCAGAUGGCUCA